AUUAUACUCCCUCCGUCCCAAAAUAACUGUCUCAAACUUAGUACAACUUUGUACUAGAGCUAAUACAAAGUUGAGACACUUAUUUUGGGACGGAGGGAGUACUUU
Molecule: non-coding RNA, 105 nt
Organism: Triticum aestivum (bread wheat)
Lineage: Eukaryota; Viridiplantae; Streptophyta; Magnoliopsida; Poales; Poaceae
Source: Rfam